RNAcentral lists this ribosomal RNA (554 nucleotides) under uncultured Burkholderia sp. RNAcentral describes it as "bacterial SSU rRNA". It matches the Rfam family "Bacterial small subunit ribosomal RNA", at positions 337 to 836 of the family's 1533-position model. The record is from RNAcentral. Lineage: Bacteria; Pseudomonadati; Pseudomonadota; Betaproteobacteria; Burkholderiales; Burkholderiaceae.
UCCUACGGGAGGCAGCAGUGGGGAAUUUUGGACAAUGGGGGCAACCGUGAUCCAGCAAUAUCGGGUGUGUGAAGAAGGCCUUCGGGUUGUAAAGCUUUUUUGUCCGGAAAGAUAAUUUAGUCCCUAAUAUGGAUGGAGGAUGACGGUUCUGGAAGAAUAAGCACCGGCUAAAUAUGUGCCAGCAGCCGCGGUUAUUCGUAGGGUGCGAGCGUUAAUUGGAAUUUCUGGGGGUAAAGCGUGCGCAGGCGGUAUGUUAAGAUCGAUGUGAAAUUCCCGGGGUUAACCUGGGAAUUUCAUUGGUGACUGGCAGAUUUUGAGUGUGGCAGAGGGAGGUAGAAUUCCAAGUGUAGCAGUGAAAUUCGUAGAGAUUUGGAGGAAUACCGAUGGCGAAGGCAGCCUCCUGGGCCACCACUGACGCUCAUGCACGAAAGCGUGGGGAGCAAACAGGAUUAGAUACCCUGGUAGGCCACGCCGUAAACGACGUCAACGAGGAGUCGGGGGGUAGGCGGAUCAUUCGGAGGGGCGGCGGCUCUUCGUACAUAGGAGUUUAAUAU